Molecule: long non-coding RNA, 542 nt
Filed under: Monodelphis domestica (gray short-tailed opossum)
Lineage: Eukaryota; Metazoa; Chordata; Mammalia; Didelphimorphia; Didelphidae
Description: lncRNA (ENSMODG00000045754.1)
Source: RNAcentral
UACUACAAGAAGGAUUUUCUUCAUUUUCCGAAGGGGCCUGAGGCUAAGUGAUUUGCUCAGAGUCACAUAGCUGGCUGAGUGUCAAAGGCAGGUUCUGAACUCCAGCCUUCCUGACCCCGACUCCUAUGCUGUCUCCACUCUACUCUUUCUCAGGUGGCUUCCAGAGCAGACUUUAAUUCAUAGAAAUACAGAAGGAUCUAUGUCCAUUAGAGAGAAGAUGUGAUGUGCAUCCUCAGAGUAUCGACACAGAUAAAAUAGCCCUCAGAACUGGCUUUGCCCCAGCCUGGAUGCAUUCCUCAUCUUGCCCAACUGGUUUCUUUUUCCUGGAGGCAGGUUGAUAGCAUCCUCCAUCAUAAGUCCUUUGGAACUGCCUUGGAUCAUGCCAUUGUUGAGGAUCCUCAAGUGGAUUAGACUUGUUAAAAAAAAUAAAAGAAAGAAAGGCUGGUGUGGUACCAGCUUAGCCUGACAAAGGGUAACCAUGGAUCCUAUAACCCACGAAGUUCUAGAAAGGUAAAAAUAAAAUUUUUCUCAAACUUGAGACA